AUUUUAUUCCAUGUACCAAAAACUGCAGACAAACACCCAUUAAUUCUCCACAUUGCAAAACAUGGAAGUAACAGGAAGUGACAGUUCAUUUUGCUCAUUUACUAUUGUUUUUAUGGGUACAAAACAUGUAUAAAUGUUUUAAACUAAACAAGCCUAUAUUAAUUGCAAAUCUGU
Long non-coding RNA from Carassius carassius (crucian carp), 174 nucleotides. RefSeq lists it as uncharacterized. The transcript is spliced from 2 exons. The record is from RefSeq and is a predicted model, not a curated record. Lineage: Eukaryota; Metazoa; Chordata; Actinopteri; Cypriniformes; Cyprinidae.